GGCGGCUCGAGUGGUGGCCACUAUUACUGGGCUUAAAGCGUUCGUAGCUGGUUUGUUAAGUCUCUGGGGAAAUCUUCCGGCUUAACCGGAAGGCAUCUCAGGGAUACUGGCAGACUAGGGACCGGAAGAGGUGAGGGGUACUCCAGGGGUAGGAGUGAAAUCCUGUAAUCCUUGGGGGACCACCUGUGGCGAAGGCGCCUCACCAGGACGGCUCCGACAGUGAGGGACGAAAGCUGGGGGAGCAAACC
RNAcentral lists this ribosomal RNA (248 nucleotides) under uncultured euryarchaeote. RNAcentral's name for it is "partial 16S ribosomal RNA". It matches the Rfam family "Archaeal small subunit ribosomal RNA", at positions 478 to 725 of the family's 1478-position model. Lineage: Archaea; Methanobacteriati; Methanobacteriota. The record is from RNAcentral.